This is an RNA transcript of Myotis davidii, 697 nucleotides long. It is a transcript of the gene named magnesium-dependent phosphatase 1, with no coding region annotated. The transcript has 7 exons. NCBI's taxonomy places the organism in Eukaryota, Metazoa, Chordata, Mammalia, Chiroptera, Vespertilionidae. The record is from RefSeq and is a predicted model, not a curated record.
GAGGCCGGAGGGUAUCUCUGGCCCCAGAGAAGGCCCCGCCUCCCUGCACGCAGGCCGUGGGCGCCGGUGAUGGCGCCGCUCCCUAAGCUCGCUGUCUUCGAUCUGGAUUACACGCUCUGGCCAUUCUGGGUGGACACGCACGUAGACCCCCCAUUCCACAAGAGCAGUGAUGGGACUGUACGAGAUAGGCAAGGCAGGACCAUCCGACUGUACCCAGAGGUGCCCGAGGUCCUGGACCGAUUUCGAGGCCUUGGGGUGCCCAUGGCAGCCGCUUCACGGACAGGUGAAGUAGAAGGGGCCAACCAGCUACUGGAGCUCUUUGACCUUGCCAGAUACUUUGUUCAAAGGGAAAUCUAUCCAGGCAGCAAGGUCACACACUUUGAGAGGCUGCAGCAGAAGACUGGAGUUCCUUUCUCCCAGAUGAUCUUCUUUGAUGAUGAGAAGCGGAAUAUUGUAGACGUCAGCAAACUGGGUGUUACCUGCAUUCAUGUUCAGAAUGGAAUGAGUCUUCAAGUCCUGACUCAGGGACUAGAGACCUUUGCAAAGGCCCACGCUGGACCCUGAGGUCCAGUCCUGUGGAGGAGCCUCAUUUGAGGCAUAAAACUCAAGGAAACCAGGAAGGUGUUUUCAGGUUGGACAGUCUGUUCGAAGCGGCUGCUUUGAACCCAGCUUGCGGGUUUGGGGCUGGUGGCUCCCG